ACCUUGUACCUUUCUCUUUCAGGUAUACAUCUGGAAUGUCCUGUGGACCAUGCGGUUGGACCUUUUGUACCCAGGAGGAGGGGUUAAGAGGCAGGUACUGGGCAUGCGCGAAGCUCAUUCCGCGUUGGAGUCCAUCGGGUGAGGUUCCUGUUGCUGGAGCUCCCAGGCCUAGGCCUAGGCCUGUCGGUGGGAGGCUGGACCCGCUCCCGGUGGGUCCGAAGAUCCCCCCUGAGGCUGGACACCACUGCUGGAUGGCCGGAUCCCCGGCGAAGAAGGGCAGAAGGUGAGGAGGCGACGCGGUCGCAAGUCGAGGACUUUCGUGGGUCGGCGGCGCGGCAGCAGCGGAGGUCGUAGGUUGAGGAUUCCCUGCACUCAGCGGCUCGGCGGUAAUGGCGGCGGCGGCGGCGGAUCCUCCCUCGUGGUCGCUGGUCCCUGGUCGCGUGGACUGGCCUGAUGGAUGUCGUGGCGUGGGUAUACAUCUGGAAUGUCCUGUGGACCAUGCGGUUGGACCUUUUGUACCCAGGAGGAGGGGUUAAGAGGUAAGGAGUGGUUAUAAGGAUUAUGGGAUAUGUGGUUAGUUAACCCUUGAAGGUCCGGGUGAUCAGGGAGACAUAGU
Non-coding RNA from Pantherophis guttatus, 616 nucleotides. The record is from RefSeq and is a predicted model, not a curated record. NCBI's taxonomy places the organism in Eukaryota, Metazoa, Chordata, Lepidosauria, Squamata, Colubridae.